RNAcentral lists this transfer RNA (72 nucleotides) under Pangasianodon gigas (Mekong giant catfish). RNAcentral's name for it is "tRNA-Glu". It matches the Rfam family "tRNA". From Rfam's summary of the family: Transfer RNA (tRNA) molecules are approximately 80 nucleotides in length. Their secondary structure includes four short double-helical elements and three loops (D, anti-codon, and T loops). Lineage: Eukaryota; Metazoa; Chordata; Actinopteri; Siluriformes; Pangasiidae. The record is from RNAcentral.
UUCCUGGAGGACUAGUGGUUAGGCCACAGUGCUCUCACUGCUGUGGCCUGGGUCCGAUUCCCAGCCAGGGAA